GGCAACCCACUCGGGUCUCCUUCAACGCUAUGGAAGCUUUGCUCUUUUGCUCUUUGCAAUAAAUCUUGCUACUGUUCACUCUUUGGGUCCAUGCUGCUUUUAUGAGCUGUAACACUCACAGGGAAAAUCUGCAGCUUCACUCCCGAACCGAGCGAGACCACGAGCCCACCGGGAGGAAAGAACAACUCCAGACAUGCUGCCUUAAGAGCUGUAACACUCACCGCGAAGGUCUGCCGUUUCACUCCUGAGCCAGUGAGACCACGAACCCACCAGAAGAAAGAAACUCUGAACACAUCUGAACAUCAGAAGGAACAGACUCCAGACGCGCCACCUUAAGAGCUGUAACACUCACCGCGAGGGUCCGCGGCUUCAUUCUUGAAGUCAGUGAGACCAAGAACCCACCAAUUCCGGACACAGAAUUUCAUGGAGCCUGGAGCCCAGGAAAAGGGUGAAUCCAAUGCAGGCUGAUUUCUGGCUUACAUCACAGUCCAGUCUGAUUUUCUGCAGAUUACUUUCUACAAGACGAUUUGGGACCUCAGUUUACCACCUCCCAGCGGACCGACGGGUGCGGUGAGUGGAGAUGAUUUUGUGAGAGUUUUUAGGACAAUCCUGGAAGUGGGUUUGUCACUUCUGGCUGCACUCCAUUGGCCUGAAAGGAAUCACACGGCCCCACCCCAAUGCGGGAGGCUGGGAGUGUUCAGCGCCUGCAGAGAAGGUCAGGUGGGCUGGAAGCCCUGCGCCAGGCAUGGCCACGCCCUGGUGAAGGUGCUCGACAAAUGUGAACAUCUCCACCUAAGCCCCCCUUGGCACCACCACUGAGUCAGUCUGUGUUUUGGAUGUUUAAUUUUGGGGUUCAAUUUGCUGAUGGUGAAUUUGACAAUGAUGUUAUUGAUUAAUUCAUUUAAAGGGAGGAGAAUCACAAAUAUUGUGGCUAGUACAGAACAACCUCUUCCACCAAGCCAGUUGUGACUGUUGCGGAUGGAGAUGGACACCUAGUGAAUGAUUUAAUCCACCAACAAUUGUGGCACACAGGCAUCGUCUUCCCCACGCCAGGACUCAGAGGCUGAGCCCAGGGUGCUGAGAGGCUGAGCCCACAGCUCCGGGGUGAGGAAUGGAGCUCCCCGAGCGCGGCUUAUCUUUCAAGGGAGCUCACACUCUUUUACAACAACCCUCGAGGUGAGGGCUCCUUCAGACUCUCCCAACUCCACCCAUGGCCACAGCCUCCGGGGCAGGGCUCCUGUUCCUACCCACCCCUCAAGCUCCUUCUCAUCCACAUGCCCAGGCUAACGUUAGCCACACUGGCAGCGGGGGAACUGACCCUGAGCAGCAGGCGCUGGCCCCUGCUCCAAGCCCUGCUUUCCGAGUGAACUCUUGUACCAGCUGGAAUUGUCUCCGGGUGCUUCCUCCGUCAGACCACGGUCAAGUGCAGGUCCAGUGUUUUGGGUCAGAUGUCAGUGGGCAGGCUCAGCAUUCAUCCAAAGAAAUAGCAGCUUCGUAAUUGGUUACUUGUAGGGGUAAUUAGCUAUCUGCAUAAAUUAACUGAUUCCUCCUCAUAGUAUGUCCCCUAUAGACAGUGAGGGUUCAAUUUGCUGUUGGUGAAUUUGCUAAUGUGACUUAUUGAUUAAUCUUUUUAAAGUGGGGUGGUUCCCAACACUUGAGGCCACCUGAGCCCAUGGAGAGGGUGGAAACUGACCCACAAAGCUGCCAGCUGCUGGGGAACACGGGUCAGCCCAGUGAGGCAACUCUCUGGCCACAUUGCCCACCGCCUGCCCUUCACUCCCACCAAGCAUGGCUCCCUCAGAGUCCCAUGGCUGCUCUGCUGCCCAAGGAAACUGUUCCUCUGGGCGUUCUCAAAGGCCUGAAUGGAUGAGUGCCAUGUCCAGUGCUAUGAGUCUCCUGAUGGUAGAUGGACACUGUGUCCCAUGUCCAAUGGUGGGGACUGUGCCAUGCCCUGUGUCCAGUGAUGCUGGAUGGGCCAUGCCCAGUGUCCAGUGAUUAUGGACAGGCACCGUGCCAAGUGUGCUAUGAUUAUCGAUGGGUGCCAUGUCCAAUGUCUAAUGAUGAUGGACAGGUAUGUUCAGGGUCAAUUGAUGGUGGAUGGGCACCAUGCCCAGUGUCUAAUGAUGAUUCAAUUGAUGGUGGAUGGACGCCAUGUCCAGUGUCUAAUGAUGAUGGACAGGUAUGUUCAGGGUCAAUUGAUAGUGGAUGGGCGCCAUGUCCAGUGUCCAAUAAUGGUGUACCGUGCUCAAUGUCUGAUGAGAGUGUACAAGUGCCUUGCCCAGUGUCCAGUGAUGGUGGACAGGCACCAUGCCCAUUGUUCAGUAAUUAUGGUCAUUGGACAUGCCAAGUGUCCAAUGAUGGUGGACCAUGCCCAGUGUCUGAUGAGGGUGUAUGGGUGCCAUGCCCAAUAAUGGUGGACAGGCAUCAUAGCCAUUGUUCAGUGAUUAUGAACAGGUGCUAUGCCAAGUGUCCAGUGAUGGUGGAUGGUGCAAUGCCCAGGGUCCAAUGAUGGUGGAUGGGCACCAUGCUCAGUGUCCAUUGGUAAUGGAUGGGUACAAUGCCCAUUGUCUAAUGAGGGUGUAUGGGCACCAUGCCCAGUGUCCAGCUCAUUGUCCAGUGAUAAUGGAUGGGCCCCAUGCCCAGUGUCCAGUGAUUAUGGACAGGCACCAUGCCCAGUGUCCAGUGAUUAUGGACAGGCACCAUGCCCAGUGUUCAGUGAUGGUAGAUGGGCCUCAUGCCCUGUGUCCAAUGAUUAUGGACGGGCCCUAUGCCCAGUGUCCAAUGAUUAUGGACAGGCACCAUGCCCAGUGUUCAGUGAUGGUAGAUGGGCACCAUGCCCGGUGUCCAAUGAUUAUGGACAGGCACCAUGCCCAGUGUUCAGUGAUGGUAGAUGGGCACCAUGCCCAGUGUCCAAUGAUUAUGGACGGGCACCAUGCCCUGUGUCCAAUGAUUAUGGACAGGCACCAUGCCCAGUGUCUAAUGAUGGGGAAUAAUAGAGUUUGGAUGUUGUCCCCACCCAAAUCUCAUGCUGAAUUGUAAUCCCCAAUACCAGAGGUGUGGCCUGGUGGGAGGGGAUUGGAUCAUGGCAGUGGAUCCCUCAUGGCUUGGUAUUGUCUUCGAGACAGUGAGUGAGUUCUUGCAAAAUCUGGUCAUUUAAAAAUAUGUGGCACCUGCCCCUCACCUCUCUUACUUCUCCUUUUACCAUGUGAUGUGCCUGGUUCCCAUUUGCCUCAGGAAGCUUCCUGAGGCCUCCCCAGAAGCAGAAGCUACAAUGCUUCCUGUAGAGCCUGUGGAACUCUGGGCCAAUUAAAACUCUUUUCUUAUAAAUUACACAGUCUCAGGUACUUUUUUUUUUUUUUUUUUUUUUUUUUUUUUUUUUUUGAGACAGAAUCUCACACUGUUGCCCAGGCUGGAGUGCGGUGGCAUGAUCUCGGCUCACUGCAACCUCCACCUCCUGGGUUCAAGCAAUUCUCAUGCCUCAGCCUCCCGAGUAGCUGGGACUACAGGUGCACCUCAUCAUGCCCAGCUAAUUUUUUUAUUUUUAAUGGAGACGAGGUUUCACAAUGUUGGCCAGGAUGGUCUCCAUCUCUUGACCUCGUGAUCCACCCACCUCGGCCUCCCAAAGUGCUGGGAUUACAGGUGUGAGCCACUGGUGCCCGGCCUCAGGUACUUAUUAAUAGCAAUGCAAGAAAGGUCUAACGCAGUGGACAAGUACCAUGCCCAGUGUCUGCUGAGGGUGUAUGGGCAGCCUACCCAAUGUCCUCUGAUGGUGGGGCAUUUGUCCAUGGGUCUGUGAAGAGCCAGGAAUACCUCGGCCAUGUUGGGGACAAGCUCCCCAGCCUGUGGAGUCCCCUCAUCCUUCUUUCUGUACCGUGAGUGCUCCUCCAAUCGGAGAAUACUUUUCUCCUCACCACAUUCCACCUGUUACCAUAGGUGUUUGUCUUUUUGGCCUCCCUGAUAAAUUUCAGGCUCCUCAGGGACUGGGCCCACAGAAGCCCCUAGACUCUGGAUCUCCUAGCACUGGUCCUUAGCAGUGUUAAUGGAUGGAUGGUUGCCGGGGUACAUGAAUGGUUCAACUUUUCUUCAUAUAUUUAUCACAAGUUAGAGGGAGGAUUCCAUUCACACCUCCCAAAGAGUCCAAACUGCUCACCACUUAGACCUGGAAGCCUUUACGGGAGACAAAAACUCCUGGUGAGGAAGGUAGAGCUUCUAGGGAAAGAAAGAAAAAAAAUUAGCAACUUUAUAUGGGACCUUGUGUUCAGCCAUUCUUGCACUGCUAUAAAGAAAUACCUGAGACUGGGUAAUUGAUAAGAAAAGAGGUUUGAUUGGCUCAUGGUUGUGCAGGCUGUAUAGGAGGCAUGGCACCGGCAUCUGCUCAGCUUCUGGGGAGGCCUCAGGGAGUUGUUACUCAUGGUGGAAGGUAAAGCGGAAGCAGGCCUGUCUCAUGGCGAGAUUGGGAACAAGAGACAGCAGGAGGUGCCACACGCUUUUAAACAAGCAGAUCUCACUCAUGACCAAGGGGAUGGUACUAAGCCAUUCACAAGGGAUCUGCCGCCGUGAUCCAAUCACCUCCCAUCAGGCCCCACCCCCAACACUCAGGACCACAUUUCCACAUGAGAUUUGGGUGGGGACACACAUUCAAACUCGAUCAGACCUUUGCCUUCGCGAUUUCACCAGGUCUUGCUGCGAGCACACCCACAGGGCCAUCUGCUGUCUGCCAUCAGUGUCUAUUUGAUGGCAGUGCCUCAUUCGGGCUGCCUGGCGCCACGAUGUUUCAGUUGUCCCCUUUUGAUGGCCAUGCCUGAGAAGCCACAGGAGUAGUUGCUCAGUGUCAGGACUCAGGCUUCUGGUCCAAAACCCAGACCCACUUCUUAAGGCAGUGUGACCUUCGGCAGGUCACUUAAGCUCUUUCCUGUCUCUGAAAUGACUGUAAUAAUGAAAAGCUCUUCCUACAGUCAUUGCAGGGACUAAGUGAGUUAAUGCAGGAAAUCCUUACAGCAUUGCUGCACAUCACAGCGCCCAGUAAACAGUAGCCAUUGAUGCCUCCAUUUCCCAGAGGAGGAAACUGAGGCUCUGAGAGGUUCAGAGAUUUGCCCAAGGCUGCAGAGCUAGUACGCGGCAGAGAGAGGACUUAGAGCUAACUCUGUCUUCACCUAUUUACUGAUCACAGGCUUGGUUAGACCCCAAGGUCUCCCGCACACUCCCCAGUGGACAUCUCCACUGAUGUGGCUCUGACGCCACCAGCCCCAGCCCUGGUGUGUAUCGAGCCAGCGGCGGUGGUGGGGCCAGUGGCAGCAGGGUAGGGCAGUUGCUUUCACUGGAGUCUUUAGCACACAAGGCGAUGGGUCCAGCUGGGUCUUCUGAUGCUUAGACAUGGAGUUGGGCUGAAUUGCCUGGACCUAACAUCAUUUAAGGAUGAAUACAUUGUUCUGGGAUGUUCUCAUAAGAUCACAGAGACACAGAACAGAGACAGAGGUUUUCUCUUUCUAUUUUUCUGUUUCUCUACCUUGAUGACAUCACUUAUUGUAGUGUGUUUGAAUUGUGUCCCUGCCAAAUCCAUCUCUACCCAGAGCCUCAGAAUCUGCACUUAUUUGAAAAUAGGGUUUUUUGGCCGGGUGUGGUGGCUCAUGCCUGUAAUCCCAGGCACUUUGGGAGGCCAAGGUGAGCGGGAUCACCUGAGGUCAGGAGUUCAAGACCAACGUGGCCAACAUGGUGAAACCCCAUCUCUACUAAAAAUACAAAAAUUAGCCGGGCAUGAUGGCAGGUGCUACUUGGCAGCUACUUGGGAGGCUGAGGCAAGAGAAUCGCUUGAACCCGGGAAGCGAAGGUUGCAGUGAGCCAAGGUCAUGCCAUUGCACUCCAGCCUGGGCGGCAGAGUAAGACUUCAUCUAAAAAAAAAAAAAAAAGAAAAUGGGGUUUUUGUAGAUGUCGUGAGUGAAGAUGAGGUCUUCCUGGAGUAGGGUGGGCCCUAAAUCAAAUGACUGGUGUCUCCAUAAGCAGAGGAGAGGACACGCAGAGGGACACCAGGGAAGAGGGUGGCGAGACAGUGGAAGCAGAGGCUGCAGCGAGGCAUGGACAUCUACAAGCCGAGGCACAGCUGGGAUGGCCGGCCACCGGGAGCUGAAGGGACAGGGAAGGAGCCCCCGGAGGAAGUGCUGCUGGCCCACACCUUGAUCUCGGACUUCCAGCCUCCAGAGCUGGGAGAGAAGAGAUUCCGUUGUGCAAACACCUGGUCUAUGGUGCUUCGUCCUCGCAGAUGCGGCAAGCGGGUCCAGCCAAGAAUAAAUGCGAGGUGGGCAGCAGCGGAAUCACUUCUCACUGGGGUGGGAUGAGGCCAGAGGGAAACGAGGAGGUGGGCUCAGAAGCCCAGUUCCCCAGUGGGGUUUUCUUUUUCCCUUCCCGGGGGGUGGCUCCUGCGUGGCUCCUUUUGCUGCCGUCUGCCCAUCCUGACUUGAUCUUAUUUGCCCUGGCGGAGCUGCCUUCCCCCUCGUGUCACCUCUGCCCUUUCCGGGAGGGGCCCUUGUUCUCCGCCCCCAGCAACACUCCCAUCCCGUGAGCCUCAGGCUUUGCUGCCGGUCUCUGCUGUCCCAAAUGCGCGGCUCACUCCUGUCCUGUGUGGGCUGUCACCUGGCGGGGGAGUGGGUGGAUACAGAGGUGGUUAGGCUUCAGAACGGUUUCCCUCUCCUCUGUGACUGGCAGCUCUGUCAUUCAUCAAACCCUGAGAUGCCAGACAGUUUCCUAUCUCUCAAACAAAGGUUAAGCAAAUCAAGUUUUCACAGAGUAAAGCUGAUCCAUUGACAGGACAAAUUGCUUAAGGAGAAUUCAUCUCACUGUCGGCAAAAUCCAUCAAUCUAGGGUUAGUCAUUGAGUAUCUCCUGCCAGAGCAAGGGACCAAAAAAUGAAGGGAUGAGGGCGAGCAGGAAAUACUCAGGCCCUGCCCGCAGUCAAGGACAGGUCCUGAGCAGGGGCUGUAAUGGAACAAGAGUGUUUCCUGUUCCUCUCCCUAACCCAGGCCCUCACUCCACGUACCUAAUGCCGGGUCGAGCACUGAAUAAAGCACCAAGAGAUACUGUGCAUGGCACACCCCUGUGGGCAGCCUCCCUGCUCUCCUCGGUCAAGCAGGGCCCCCUUGUGUAUCCCCAUCUACCCCACUGCAGCCCCACACAGGUUCUCCCCAGCCUGUGGCCCAGCCCCUGCCCCUGCCAUGCAGUUGCCCCCCACAGCCCCCCAUGGAGGCCUCUGCCCAGCUCUCAGCCCUGGGGUGAGCUCACCUCCCAAGCCUAGCCAGAGGGAGCGCAGCCCUCCUCACACCCUUAUCUCACCUCCCCACCUCUAGACUGUGCAGGAGCUUUCUGCUGUGUGAACCCCCAGGCCAUGGUGCCUGGUCCCUGCAGACACAGCGAGGGAACCACCCAGAGGUGCAUGUGGAGUGGGUGGAUGGCAGCCAGGAGGCUCUUCUCACCCAGGGGAUGAGGGCAGAGGAAAACCAAGAGGGAAACCAGGCCACAAGGGGCUCACCAUGCCUCUGCCCCUCCUGUCCAUGGCGAUGACCACGGUGGACACCAGCAGGCCCCAGGCGAGGCGGCGGGAGGCAGCAGGCAGGAUGGGCCAUCCAGGGAGGGAGCUGGGAGGCCGAGUGGGCAGUGAUGGGCUUCAGUCUCCCUGAGGGGCUGUCCUCCCACUGAGGAGUCCUCAGCCUCAUUAAAUAACCAGGGUUUGUCUCUGUGGCGUGGGUGGCAGGGACAAAAAUCAGUGCCCAGGAAUCACGGCUUCCUCCCUCCCUCACUGCCCAAGCGGGAGAUCAGGCUCCUUCCCCACCUCACAGCAGCCAGAGGUGGGGGCCUGGGAGCUGGGAGAGGAGAGAUUCAUAUCACCCAAGGGGCUCUGUGGGAGGAGGUAAAGGUGCCUUGGGGGGAGGAAGGGUGACGAGGAUCAAGGAUGAUGCUGGGCUUGGGGAGGAGCAUGGGGAAGAAGAGUGUCCUCCCAGGGCUGUGGGAAGGCAGGGGAGAAAGAGCACAUGAGAGGCGGCACCACCCUGGUGUUCCCUGGAGAGACCCUCACAGAGGCGCUGGUCUGUUGGUUGCUAUGAAGAGGGUCCCCUUUGAUUGACAUGCGGAGGAUGCUGCAUGAACUUGGAGCCGAGGCAGUGGGGUUUUCACAGCUUGGAAAAGCCCAGACUUGGUAUUUGUUAUGGGUUGAGUUGUGUCCCGUGAAAACCAGGGUUCUGGAGCCCGAAACCCUGGUACCUGUGAAUGAGAGCUUAUUUGGAAAUUGGGUCUUGCAAACAUGAUGAAGUCAUGGGGAUCAUGAGGGUGGGCCCUAGUCCAGCAUGAUGUCCUUAUGGGGAGGCGAGAACCCUGUGUGAAGACUCCCACGGGACAAGGCCUGAGAUGGAGGCAGAGAUAGACACGGCACAUCUAAAGCCAAGGAACCCUGAGCCUCACGGCAGCCCCGGGAGCUGGGGAGGGGCUGUGGAGGACUCUCCAAGUCUCAGGGAGGCGGCCCUGCUGACAUCCUGACUUCAGACUUUCCAGCCUCCAGAACCGGGGGAUGAUAAUCCCUGUUGUUUUAAGGCCCCCCAGUUCGUUGUUACAGCAGCCCCAGGAAGCUAAUUCAGCACUCUAAGUUGCAUUGCAAGCAGAGUCCUUCAGGAGAAUGCGAGGAACUGCGUGGUCCAGCUUGGGCUGAGGGCAGUGAGCAGAACCUUGCCAGGAAAGGAGACCAUGGCUCACCAGGCCAGGCAGCCCUCUCUCCUCUCUGGCCCCAACGGGCACAGCAAACUGAGGCUCCAGACAGGAGGCUGAGCACAGGCUGUCUCUGCCCUGUGCCCACACCUGCUUGUAAGCUGAGGGCAUUUUAUUGGCACAGACUUCAAAAGCAUUAAAAAACAUCCCACAUGGUAAUGUUAUGUACAAGCAAGGUAAUUCUACAUGUCUGGAGAAUGGAUGUAGCAUAAAUUGGGUCUUUUGGCCAAAAUGAGAAAUAACAGAUGCAAAGAUAUUGCUAUUUAACAAAUGCACAGUUUUGCUCCACUUUUGGUUAAGAGUCUUGUUUGCUUUUGAUGAAGAGUCAAGGACUGAAAUAAUGUAAAAAAGUUAAGAAUAUUUAUUUAAACAGGAAUUUUCAUCUAAGGUCCAAGCACAAAUAGCCCCGGCAACACCACGUUCCAGCACCGAGCACAGUACGAUAACUGUGCUCAAGGUUACCUUCCAUUUCAAGUUGUAAGCAUUUUUCCAGAAAUAUCUAUGACUGGAGUUAGAACCAUGACGGCUCAGUCAUGUUGUUAGUCUCAUGAUGAAGAACAUGAAAUAGUUUGGAGAAAAAGACAGAUACAUUUAAUGGUUCCAAAUUACAGAUCCUCCACGGUGGAUCAAAAGCUUACUGGGACAUUUUUCUUUAAGGGCAAGGGAAUUCAAGAUACUGGUGGCGCCAUUUCAACAAAUCAUUGCCGUAAAUGUGGUUUGCGGGAGGCCACCAGGCUGGUGGACAUGGGUUGUUCCACCAGGCUAGAACACAAUUGCUUUUGUGUGUUGUGUGUAUGUGUGUGUCUUAUGUAUGUUUCUGUGCCGCGGUGUGUGUGUGUGUGUGUGUGUGUGUGCACAAUCUCAAUGCAGGUAGGUUAUCCAGGCACACGGGACACCUGGUAGAGCACCUUUAGGAAGAUGAGCCAAGAAUUAUUUCCAUAAACCAUGUCAGAAUCGUCACUGAACACUUGCCCUUCCUCCUUAUGAAAAUGUUUAAUUUACUCAUUGUUAGACAAAAAGGCAGACGCUUAAGAUUUUUCAUCAUUGUAAAAGAAGUGUUAUCUAUGGCAAAUGAGUCAGUAAACACAUCCUAAUAGCAAUAUGCUGCAAAAUGUGUCAAUUUGAGGCCAAACAUGUUCCUUUAUUAGAAUUGAUGUUCUCCAUCCUGAAGCUCCUAUUACAGCCUCAUUUGGGUGGAAGGAGGAAUUUCAGGGAGCAAUGCAGUUCAGCAGAAAUUGUUGACACGUUAUCUCCCUUCACCAAAGGUCAACAUUUGAUGGAAAGUUACACAUAAUAAAAUAAUUCCCAAA
Long non-coding RNA from Homo sapiens (human), 10054 nucleotides. RefSeq lists it as uncharacterized. The record is from RefSeq and is a predicted model, not a curated record. The transcript is spliced from 2 exons. NCBI's taxonomy places the organism in Eukaryota, Metazoa, Chordata, Mammalia, Primates, Hominidae.